RNAcentral lists this ribosomal RNA (446 nucleotides) under uncultured bacterium. Its description in RNAcentral is "partial 16S ribosomal RNA". It matches the Rfam family "Bacterial small subunit ribosomal RNA", at positions 338 to 795 of the family's 1533-position model. The record is from RNAcentral.
CCUACGGGAGGCUGCAGUCGAGAAUCAUGCACAAUGGGGGAAACCCUGAUGGGGCGACGCCGCGUGGGGGAAUGAAGGUCUGCGGAUUGUAAACCCCUGUCAUGUGGGAGCAAAUUAAAAAGAUAGUACCACAAGAGGAAGAGACGGCUAACUCUGUGCCAGCAGCCGCGGUAAGACAGAGGUCGCAAGCGUGGUUCGGAACCACUGGGCGUAAAGCGUGCGUAGGCUGUGUCGUAAGGCGGGUGUGAAAGGCGCGGGCUCAACCCGCGGACGGCACAUGAUACUGCGAGACUAGAGUAAUGGAGGGGGAACCGGAAUGCUCGGUGUAGCAGUGAAAUGCGUAGAUAUCGAGCGGAACACUCGUGGCGAAGGCGGGUUCCUGGACAUUAACUGACGCUGAGGCACGAAGGCCGGGGGAGCGAAAAGGAUUAGAUACCCCGGUAGUC